AGUCGAGCGGGGAAGGGUAGCUUGCUACCUGACCUAGCGGCGGACGGGUGAGUAAUGCUUAGGAAUCUGCCUAUUAGUGGGGGACAACAUUCCGAAAGGAAUGCUAAUACCGCAUACGCCCUACGGGGGAAAGCAGGGGAUCUUCGGACCUUGCGCUAAUAGAUGAGCCUAAGUCAGAUUAGCUAGUUGGUGGGGUAAAGGCCUACCAAGGCGACGAUCUGUAGCGGGUCUGAGAGGAUGAUCCGCCACACUGGGACUGAGACACGGCCCAGACUCCUACGGGAGGCAGCAGUGGGGAAUAUUGGACAAUGGGCGAAAGCCUGAUCCAGCCAUGCCGCGUGUGUGAAGAAGGCCUUUUGGUUGUAAAGCACUUUAAGCGAGGAGGAGGCUACUUGGAUUAAUACUCUAGGAUAGUGGACGUUACUCGCAGAAUAAGCACCGGCUAACUCUGUGCCAGCAGCCGCGGUAAUACAGAGGGUGCGAGCGUUAAUCGGAUUUACUGGGCGUAAAGCGUGCGUAGGCGGCUUUUUAAGUCGGAUGUGAAAUCCCUGAGCUUAACUUAGGAAUUGCAUUCGAUACUGGGAAGCUAGAGUAUGGGAGAGGAUGGUAGAAUUCCAGGUGUAGCGGUGAAAUGCGUAGAGAUCUGGAGGAAUACCGAUGGCGAAGGCAGCCAUCUGGCCUAAUACUGACGCUGAGGUACGAAAGCAUGGGGAGCAAACAGGAUUAGAUACCCUGGUAGUCCAUGCCGUAAACGAUGUCUACUAGCCGUUGGGGCCUUUGAGGCUUUAGUGGCGCAGCUAACGCGAUAAGUAGACCGCCUGGGGAGUACGGUCGCAAGACUAAAACUCAAAUGAAUUGACGGGGGCCCGCACAAGCGGUGGAGCAUGUGGUUUAAUUCGAUGCAACGCGAAGAACCUUA
Molecule: ribosomal RNA, 919 nt
Filed under: Acinetobacter sp. Pao39
Lineage: Bacteria; Pseudomonadati; Pseudomonadota; Gammaproteobacteria; Moraxellales; Moraxellaceae
Description: bacterial SSU rRNA
Rfam family: Bacterial small subunit ribosomal RNA
Source: RNAcentral